CGACGCCCGGAGAUUUACACGUUUAGAAAAGGCACACGGAAGAUCAGCCCAAAAAACGAAGAAUGGAUUUCAACGAGUGCAACGUACCUUGUCAGGAAGAAGCGAGAUAUCGAAGGCGUACGAAAACAUCUAACUUAUAGAUGCGGGCUCGCUGAUCGUGACGGCUUUGUUAGAAUUUUUGGAGGACGUUGGAAACGAGGGGAAGAA
This 207-nucleotide long non-coding RNA is filed under the name Polistes fuscatus (common paper wasp). RNAcentral describes it as "uncharacterized LOC122525804". The record is from RNAcentral. Lineage: Eukaryota; Metazoa; Arthropoda; Insecta; Hymenoptera; Vespidae.